Molecule: non-coding RNA, 52 nt
Filed under: bovine gut metagenome
Also listed under: 1 other name
Source: RNAcentral
AAUUGUGGACGGAUUUGUCAUGAUUGCAACCACGGAAAAAAAUGCUAAACCA